UAUCAUCAGAUACUAAACAGCAGAGUGACCUUGCUGCUGAAAACUAUAUGGCCUUUGCUGAUUGAUCUGUAGCUGCCUAGUGUUACUUUUUAAUUAUCCAGUAGUCCUGUGUUCCAGGAGCUAUCAUUUGACUCAUUGUGUCUAAUAUUGACCCAGAUGCUCUGAAUUGCCAGUCUUGAUAAAGGUCCUAUAAUAGGACCGAAACGUCGAAUGUUAAAGGCAACGUUAUUGAACCUGAUUAACCUGAAUAAACUGAUUGACACAUCAA
Pseudophryne corroboree (corroboree frog) is the source of this 268-nucleotide long non-coding RNA. RefSeq lists it as uncharacterized. The record is from RefSeq and is a predicted model, not a curated record. NCBI's taxonomy places the organism in Eukaryota, Metazoa, Chordata, Amphibia, Anura, Myobatrachidae. The transcript is spliced from 4 exons.